Molecule: ribosomal RNA, 253 nt
Filed under: uncultured bacterium
Lineage: Bacteria
Description: partial 16S ribosomal RNA
Rfam family: Bacterial small subunit ribosomal RNA
Source: RNAcentral
UACGAAGGGGGCUAGCGUUGCUCGGAAUCACUGGGCGUAAAGGGCGCGUAGGCGGCCAUUCAAGUCGGAGGUGAAAGCCCAGGGCUCAACCCUGGAAUUGCCUUCGAUACUGUUUGGCUAGAGACCGGAAGAGGUAAGUGGAACUGCGAGUGUAGAGGUGAAAUUCGUAGAUAUUGGGUGGAACACCGGUGGCGAAAGCGGCUCACUGGUCCGGUUCUGACGCUGAGGCGCGAAAGCGUGGGGAGCAAACAGG